RNAcentral lists this ribosomal RNA (213 nucleotides) under uncultured bacterium. RNAcentral describes it as "partial 16S ribosomal RNA". It matches the Rfam family "Bacterial small subunit ribosomal RNA", at positions 524 to 735 of the family's 1533-position model. The record is from RNAcentral.
UACGUAGGGUGCAAGCGUUAAUCGGAAUUACUGGGCGUAAAGCGUGCGCAGGCGGUUUUGUAAGUCUGUCGUGAAAUCCCCGGGCUCAACCUGGGAAUUGCGAUGGAGACUGCAAGGCUAGAAUCUGGCAGAGGGGGGUAGAAUUCCACGUGUGAGCAGUGAAAUGCGUAGAGAUGUGGAGGAACACCGAUGGCGAAGGCAGCCCCCUGGGUC